This 245-nucleotide ribosomal RNA is filed under the name uncultured bacterium. RNAcentral's name for it is "partial 16S ribosomal RNA". It matches the Rfam family "Bacterial small subunit ribosomal RNA", at positions 528 to 772 of the family's 1533-position model. The record is from RNAcentral.
UAGGGAGCGAGCGUUGUCCGGAAUUACUGGGUGUAAAGGGUGCGUAGGCGGGAUGGCAAGUCAGACGUGAAAUACCGGGGCUCAACUCCGGGGCUGCGUUUGAAACUGUCGUUCUUGAGUGAAGUAGAGGCAGGCGGAAUUCCUAGUGUAGCGGUGAAAUGCGUAGAUAUUAGGAGGAACACCAGUGGCGAAGGCGGCCUGCUGGGCUUUAACUGACGCUGAGGCACGAAAGCAUGGGGAGCAAA